GAUGAACGCUGGCGGCGUGCCUAAUACAUGCAAGUCGAGCGAACAGACGAGGAGCUUACUCCUCUGACGUUAGCGGCGGACGGGUGAGUAACACGUGGAUAACCUACCUAUAAGACUGGGAUAACUUCGGGAAACCGGAGCUAAUACCGGAUAAUAUAUUGAACCGCAUGGUUCAAUAGUGAAAGACAGUUUUGCUGUCACUUAUAGAUGGAUCCGCGCCGCAUUAGCUAGUUGGUAAGGUAACGGCUUACCAAGGCAACGAUGCGUAGCCGACCUGAGAGGGUGAUCGGCCACACUGGAACUGAGACACGGUCCAGACUCCUACGGGAGGCAGCAGUAGGGAAUCUUCCGCAAUGGGCGAAAGCCUGACGGAGCAACGCCGCGUGAGUGAUGAAGGUCUUCGGAUCGUAAAACUCUGUUAUUAGGGAAGAACAAAUGUGUAAGUAACUAUGCACGUCUUGACGGUACCUAAUCAGAAAGCCACGGCUAACUACGUG
RNAcentral lists this ribosomal RNA (497 nucleotides) under uncultured bacterium. Its description in RNAcentral is "partial 16S ribosomal RNA". It matches the Rfam family "Bacterial small subunit ribosomal RNA", at positions 28 to 507 of the family's 1533-position model. The record is from RNAcentral.